Sarcophilus harrisii (Tasmanian devil) is the source of this 112-nucleotide long non-coding RNA. RefSeq lists it as uncharacterized. The record is from RefSeq and is a predicted model, not a curated record. The transcript is spliced from 2 exons. Lineage: Eukaryota; Metazoa; Chordata; Mammalia; Dasyuromorphia; Dasyuridae.
AUUCCGCUCCCACUGUGCGCUAGAGUAAGCACUUAUUCCGCUCCCACUGUGCGCUAGAGUAAGCACUUAUUCCAAUCCUACUGUGUGCUAGAGAGUAAGCACUUAUUCCGCU